Homo sapiens (human) is the source of this 826-nucleotide long non-coding RNA. The record is from Ensembl. NCBI's taxonomy places the organism in Eukaryota, Metazoa, Chordata, Mammalia, Primates, Hominidae.
GGGAACAGAGAGACUGGCCCAUUGAUCCUAGUUUGGGAUUGGGUGGGAAGACCUCAUAAAAUAGUGAAGGGUAGACUGAGUCUUGAAUGACCUAAACAAAUAUAUAGAUAUAAUUGGCCAGCCCUCAGCUGGUCUCUGAUUAUGACCCGACCUGCUGAGAUAAAAUCCAGUGCAUCCUGUGCUACCUUGUUCAUGUCCCAGGAUUCAGUGACUUUGGGCAACUGAGGCUGUACAGGAAGCAUGGCUGGAGAGGCCCCAGGAAACUUACAAUCAUGGUGGAAAGCAAAGGGGAAGCAGACUGUACAGGAAGCAUGGCUGGGAGGCUUCAGGAAUUUACAAUCAUGGCAGAAGGCAAAGAGGAAACAAGCACAUCUUCUCAUGGUCAGCAGGAGAGAGAGAGUGAAGGGGGCACUGGGACAGGCACUGGGAAGACAAUGCAGAUUAAGAGUUUCUGCUUUUAAGGGACUCAGUCUGAAUGGAGACAGGUGCUGGUGAUGCAAUCAGACAAGUUCUCUGCUGUUCUGGAGUUUACAUUUGGAAGAAUUGUGUUAUAUACCAGGGAAGGAUGUGGUAACUCUCCUGAAACCUUCCCUUGGUCAUUGUCUUCUUCUUCUUCUCCUCCUCCCUUUUCUCCCUCUCUUCCCCCUCCUCCUUCUCCUCUUAUUCUUCUUCCUCCUUCUGUUUUUAAAUGAGGAAGCCCAUAGAAAAUAUUGUGACAGGGAGAAAUGGAUUUUAAAUAAGUAUGACUGAAAAAAAACUUUUACUAUAAUAGAAAAUCUUGGUGCUGAGGGAAGAAAUCCAAAAAAUUAAAAAUCUUCAGAAGGUA